RNAcentral lists this ribosomal RNA (356 nucleotides) under uncultured bacterium. RNAcentral's name for it is "partial 16S ribosomal RNA". It matches the Rfam family "Bacterial small subunit ribosomal RNA", at positions 338 to 686 of the family's 1533-position model. The record is from RNAcentral.
CCUACGGGAGGCAGCAGUGGGGAAUAUUGCGCAAUGGGCGAAAGCCUGACGCAGCGACGCCGCGUGAGGGAUGAAGGUCUUCGGAUCGUAAACCUCUGUUAGCAGGGAAGAACGGUCACUGUGCUAAUCCGCAGUGAAUUGACGGUACCUGCAAAAGCAGCACAGGCUAACCCAGUGCCAGCAGCCGCGGUAAUACGGCGGGUGCGAGCGUUAAUCGGCAUUACUGGGCGUAAAGCGGUCGGAGGUGGUAUGUCAAGUUAAGGGUGAAAUCCCCUCGCUCAACGUGGGAACUGCCUUUGAAACUGGCAAACUGGAGUGUGUGUGAGGUUAGUGGAAUUGGUGGUGUAGGAGUGAAA